CAUGUACUUCCUCCGUCCCAAAAUUCUUGUCUUAGAUUCGUCUAGAUAUGGAUGUAUCGACUUGAGACAUCCAUAUUUAGACGAAUAUAAGACAAGAAUUUUGGGACGGAGGGAGUACUUG
Triticum aestivum (bread wheat) is the source of this 121-nucleotide non-coding RNA. NCBI's taxonomy places the organism in Eukaryota, Viridiplantae, Streptophyta, Magnoliopsida, Poales, Poaceae. The record is from Rfam.